This 773-nucleotide ribosomal RNA is filed under the name uncultured bacterium. Its description in RNAcentral is "bacterial SSU rRNA". It matches the Rfam family "Bacterial small subunit ribosomal RNA", at positions 8 to 794 of the family's 1533-position model. The record is from RNAcentral.
AGAGUUUGAUCCUGGCUCAGGACGAACGCUGGCGGUGCGCCUAACACAUGCAAGUCGAACGAGAGAUGAGGAGCUUGCUCUUCAAAUCGAGUGGCGAACGGGUGAGUAACGCGUGAGGAACCUGCCUCAAAGAGGGGGACAACAGUUGGAAACGACUGCUAAUACCGCAUAAGCCCACGGCUCGGCAUCGAGCAGGGGGAAAAGGAGCAAUCCGCUUUGAGAUGGCCUCGCGUCCGAUUAGCUAGUUGGUGAGGUAAUGGCCCACCAAGGCGACGAUCGGUAGCCGGACUGAGAGGUUGAACGGCCACAUUGGGACUGAGACACGGCCCAGACUCCUACGGGAGGCAGCAGUGGGGAAUAUUGCACAAUGGGGGAAACCCUGAUGCAGCGACGCCGCGUGGAGGAAGAAGGUCUUCGGAUUGUAAACUCCUGUUGUUGAGGAAGAUAAUGACGGUACUCAACAAGGAAGUGACGGCUAACUACGUGCCAGCAGCCGCGGUAAAACGUAGGUCACAAGCGUUGUCCGGAAUUACUGGGUGUAAAGGGAGCGCAGGCGGGAGAACAAGUUGGAAGUGAAAUCCAUGGGCUCAACCCAUGAACUGCUUUCAAAACUGUUUUUCUUGAGUAGUGCAGAGGUAGGCGGAAUUCCCGGUGUAGCGGUGGAAUGCGUAGAUAUCGGGAGGAACACCAGUGGCGAAGGCGGCCUACUGGGCACCAACUGACGCUGAGGCUCGAAAGUGUGGGUAGCAAACAGGAUUAGAUACCCUGGUAGU